RNAcentral lists this long non-coding RNA (3961 nucleotides) under Panax ginseng (ginseng). RNAcentral describes it as "long non-coding RNA (PGIN_LNC006849)". Lineage: Eukaryota; Viridiplantae; Streptophyta; Magnoliopsida; Apiales; Araliaceae. The record is from RNAcentral.
AAGAAGUUGAAGAGAGAGAAACACGAGAUCAACGAAGAUCUAAGACCUUCUCCUCUUGGCUCUCCUCUUCCUCGACACCUUAGGUCUUGCUGAUCGACUUCCCUAUGGACGAGAUUAUCUUGGUAUUUCUUCAAUUUUAGUUUAGUUUCUUACAAAAUGUAUGAAAUUCUAGAAGAAUAAGAACACAUUGUCUAAGGGUUUAGCUUUAUUGGGUUUAUAGGAUUCUUGAUUUGGUUGAAUCUGAAUUUUUUGAAAUUUUCUUAUUUUAGGGUUUCUUUUGAUUGGUUUGAUGUUUACAAUUAUGUUUCUUGGUUAAAUUGAUCAGCAUUUCAUCUUGGGCUUCCCUUUGUGCAGAGUUAUCUUGGGCAGACUGGCUCUGUUGAAGAUUUGAUUCAUGGAGUGAAUUAAAACUUCAUCAUCCAGUGGAUUGAGGAGAGAUAUAAAAUAGAGUGGCUUCAAUAUUUCUCAUUUCCCCCCAAUUCAACCCAUCGGGCAAAUAGUCGUCGUCUGGUGGAAUCUGUGAGUUGAGUGCGAUAGAUACAGAUCGUCUUCGUCAAUUUUAUUCUACUGUGAUACCACUCUCUGGCUCUUCCAUCGAUGAUGACGCUUAUUCCGCUUCUUCUUCUCAUCACUUCGGCCGUCGGGUUACUUCUCUUUCCCCUUUCUUUACUUCUAUACAUGUACAAGCUUGAUUUUGCUUUUAAUUUUUUAAAUGAUUUGCCUAAUUUUUUUAAUUUUGAUGAAUUAUUUAUCUGGUUGAGUAUGUAUAGUCAUGACCUUUUAGAAAACAACUCAAUUCCGUUCAUUCCUCAUCUCUGUCACUUCCUUCCUUCCCUCUUUUCACUGUGUACAUGUCCAUAAAGUAAACCAUAGAUUAGUACAUCUGCAUAUCUUACAUAAAAAAUACCAUAAAAAUUCUGAUAAGAGACGAAUUGAAUUUUGCUCAGAUCAUCUGAAUGAAGCUUUAAAUUUUGUUAGCAGAUACUAGAGAGAGAAAGAUAAGAAGGGUAGUAAAUAAUACAGUAGUAGUAAUAAUAUUAAAUUUCAUCACAUUUCUUGUGAAAUUAAAAAGGGUUUUCUUUCCUUUUGCUUGUACCCAUUGUUGAGUAAAGCUUCAAUUUCGCGUAUAACUUAUAGCAUUUCACAUGUUAAGCAUCAAAAAAGGGGGGAAAUUGAGUGAUUGGGAGAGAGAAAUGUGUAAUUCAUUGAAAAAUGUUGGAUCAGGAAUUGGUUCCUGGUUGCGCGAAAAAAUUCUCGAUCCUCUGCUCCAAAUCCUGCAAAGGUACUUUUAAUUUUUAUUUGUUUAUGUAUAGAUAGAUACGUGUACUAUGUGUUUUUGUGUAAUAGUUAGAUUGCAUCUUUUAGUAAUUAAUAAUGUGUAUCUUUUUUGUUUGUCUAUUUAGUGGCUUGCUAAAUUAUCUGAUUCCUACAUAGUAUGUGUAGCCUUGGUGUUUUUUUAUUUGUUGUUAAUUGUUUGGCUGGGGGAAAAAGACAUUUUUGAAAAUUUUGGUAUAGUUUUCAUUCCAGACCUUUAAGUUGGAGAUAAGAUUGCAAAUAAUCUAGCUAAUGGGAGCAUUCAUUAAACUUCAAAAUUCAUGUUAGGGUGGAAAGUAGGUAAAAUUCAAGGGGUAAAUCACUGAAGUAAUCUUGUAAGCUAUUGUUUUAACAUUUUUCCCCAGAAAAAUAACUUCCGAACAAAAACCAAACAACUCAAGAUAACACAAGAUCAUAGGAGCCUGCAUAUAUAUUAAAAAAAAUCAAAUAGUAGAACCUAGGCACUAUGCAUUAGUUCUAACAUAUAUCCAUACCAAAUACUUAUCUCAUCUCCUAGGAACCAUUGUUCUGUACUUUGUUGUAAUUACUAAACACAAUAUCAAAGCAAUGCGUAGUAAAUGUGAAUAGGGUGUUAGUGUCCACAAUAUUUAAGUUACAAAGCUUCGAUAACAUCGUAACAGUUCUUUUAGAUUUUAACUAAAAAGUCAAGAAGUUGUUUUCUUUACUGCAUAAUUGUACUGGUAUAUUCAUUCAUCAAAAAAUAAAAAAUAUACAACAUGAACAUACUUUUAAUGUUUAUCCCUGGUUUUCAAACUAUCAGAUAUGCUCCACAGCUGCCCCUGGUUGUCCAGCACUGUCCUAACAGAGCUAAAAAUUGACAUAAGUCAGCAGCACCAAGUAGGCAGAGUUGAUAUUAUUUAUAACAAGAAAAAUAAAAUAACCCAGCAAAGUUUUAUGCGUAUCCUGCACGAAUGAAGAGUUGGGAGCAAGCAUUAUGUCUGUAGGGUAAGAAUUAUUCGUGAAGGCCAAGUAAAUUUCCUCUAGAAAUCAAAUACUCAAUCUUCUAUUAUAAAAGUAAGGAUCUUAUAAAACUAAGUGAUCUUAUAAAACUAAGGAUCUUAUACAACUAAGGAUAUUAUAAAGUAGAGAAAACAUAUCCAAUAUGCACUAUGUGAUUGCUGAAUGCAAAAAAUUUGACAAAAUUACUCAAAAAGCAUAAGCAGCAAGUACAUCAACACUGAAGGAUCUCAUAAAUAAAGAUUGAAAUACACCAACCUUUUACAAGAUUGACGUUUUGAGUUGAUAGUUCGUCAAAAUAUAAUAUUUCCUCCAUUCCUAAAAGAUUGAGUUUUAGAAAGUAAUUUUUGUUCUUAAAAGAUUGAUAUAAUAUCUCUACUUUCUCCUAUUUAAAGCUUUCUCCUAUUUAUAAUAUCUCUACUUUAUUCUUAUUUAAAGCUUUCUCCUAUUUAUUGUUGAAUAUAGCAUUGGGAUACAAAGUAUAAUUAAUUGAAUGGUAUACUCCUUUUUGGAAUCUACCAAGAUAAUAAUUGGCUGAGACAAUUAUAACAAGGGUAGUACAGUACUUUCUAUAGAUCUUAAGUUCAUUCCUUAAUCUAUGUGAAUAAACUUUAAACGGCAAUCUUUUAGAAACAGAGGGAGUAGUUGGUAAUUAUAAAUUGUUGAAAAAUGACAACUUAUUGACUAAUUUAGUAAUUACUUUUGAAAAAAAUAGAAAAAACUUAAUAAUAAAUUAGACAUGUUUUGAAUUUCUUUCUCUUUAUUUUUAAACAAAAAAGAAAUAUAAAAAUGAUUCUUACUAUUCUUUUCUUAGACAAAGUAACCACUUUUUUUUUAUAAUAGUAAUAAAAAAAGACAAUGAAAAUAUAAAAGAUGUUAAAAAGUCUAUUAAUAUUGAUAAACCGUAAGUAAUUUUAAAAAAAGAUAAUACACUUAAUCUAUGUAUAUGUGUGUUUGUAUGACAGAAGGAUCUCAUAAAUAAAGAUUGAAGUACGCCAACCUUUUACAAGGGGUUCCAACUUGGACUGCAACUAAUCAAUGUUUUUUUACAGGUAAUCCAUGCAAUAUAUAAGGCUUAUAUGACGAGGUCAGUUAAAGCAACUAUGUUGAUUAUAUCACGUUCUAGUCUAAUUUUUUGAUGAUGACUUAUUCAUUGGUACUAAAUUCUUCAUUAUGAAUUUCAGGAAAUUGUUUCAAGAAUUGUAUGAUGGAUUAUUCAAGAAGAAUGAAGACAUUUUGAGUCUUAAGAAAAAUAUGUAAGGUCAUUGCAAAUAUUUAAUUUUUCAAUUCAAGGCUCUAGGACAUUUUAGGUGUGCAUUUAAGUUGAUUAAAAAAAUUAAUGUUUCGUACAUGCUUAAUUUUAUGCUAACUGUUAUUACAUGAUUUAUUAUUAUACAUGCGUAAAAUGAUAAUUAUCCAGUUUAAUUGAAUUAUAUUACAUGUGUUAUAAGAGAGUUCUGAUUCUAUAUAAGCUGUAUAACAUGUGUGUAAUUUGUUGGAAGCACUAAAGCUUGUGGCGGUAAAGAUGUGAUCAUUAUCUGUUAGUUGAAUUAAAUACCCAAGUCUUGGGAAUAUAAGAUAAUGAUUAUCCUAGAGAGUUGUGUGAUAUUACACUUUCUUAUAUUUACAAAGUUAACACUCCAUUAUUUUUUGAAAGGCAGUAAUAUCU